GAUGAACGCUGGCGGCGUGCUUAACACAUGCAAGUCGAACGGGCUCAUAUUGAAACCUAGUGAUGUAUGAGUUAGUGGCGGACGGGUGAGUAACGCGUGGAGAACCUGCCGUAUACUGGGGGAUAACACUUAGAAAUAGGUGCUAAUACCGCAUAAGCGCACAGCUUCGCAUGAAGCAGUGUGAAAAACUCCGGUGGUAUACGAUGGUUCCGCGUCUGAUUAGCUAGUUGGCGGGGUAACGGCCCACCAAGGCAGCGAUCAGUAGCCGGCCUGAGAGGGUGAACGGCCACAUUGGGACUGAGACACGGCCCAA
Molecule: ribosomal RNA, 313 nt
Filed under: uncultured bacterium
Lineage: Bacteria
Description: bacterial SSU rRNA
Rfam family: Bacterial small subunit ribosomal RNA
Source: RNAcentral